Leopardus geoffroyi (Geoffroy's cat) is the source of this 414-nucleotide long non-coding RNA. RefSeq lists it as uncharacterized. NCBI's taxonomy places the organism in Eukaryota, Metazoa, Chordata, Mammalia, Carnivora, Felidae. The record is from RefSeq and is a predicted model, not a curated record. The transcript has 2 exons.
AAGAAAGAAAAGAAAAGAAAAAGAAAAAAAGAAAGUUGGGGUCUUUAUGAAAAGGUGUUAAGAAAAUUGAAAAAUAACUACGUACAACUGCAAUAUGAAACCCAAGAUUAGUAUUAAAUAUAUUUUGCUCAGGUUUGCACACUGAAUUAAUUGCUAUUGUGGAUAAAUAUCAGAGUUUCUGUUUUUUUCAUUACAAGGUGAAAUUACAAGAUGAGGACAUAGUCCACCCUGAACAAUCAUAAACUAUAAACUGAAAAAUCAAACAGGCAUUUCCAAACAUUUCUGAACAGGACCUUCCUUGAUAUACAGAUGACUGACUCUUAAAUACAUAUAAAAUGAAGAAAGUGGGACUGUCAUACUGUCAUGUGGAAAUUCUACUGGCAAAAAAUUGAGUAAUAAUAUUUUGCUAUCUGU